RNAcentral lists this transfer RNA (76 nucleotides) under Goniomonas avonlea. Its description in RNAcentral is "tRNA-Arg". It matches the Rfam family "tRNA". Rfam says of the family: Transfer RNA (tRNA) molecules are approximately 80 nucleotides in length. Their secondary structure includes four short double-helical elements and three loops (D, anti-codon, and T loops). The record is from RNAcentral. Lineage: Eukaryota; Cryptophyceae; Goniomonadida; Goniomonadaceae.
GCACCUGUAGCUCAAUUGGAUUUAGAGUGUCGUGCUUCGAACUCGACGGUUGCGGGUUCGAAUCUCGCCGGGUGUA